This 274-nucleotide ribosomal RNA is filed under the name uncultured bacterium. RNAcentral's name for it is "partial 16S ribosomal RNA". It matches the Rfam family "Bacterial small subunit ribosomal RNA", at positions 333 to 604 of the family's 1533-position model. The record is from RNAcentral.
AAAAUCCUACGGGGGGCAGCAGUGAGGAAUAUUGGUCAAUGGGCGGGAGCCUGAACCAGCCAAGCCGCGUGAAGGAAGAAGGCGCCAAGCGUCGUAAACUUCUUUUGUCGGGGAACAAAGGGCGCCGCGUGUGGCGUUGUGAGUGUACCCGAAGAAAAAGCAUCGGCUAACUCCGUGCCAGCAGCCGCGGUAAUACGGAGGAUGCGAGCGUUAUCCGGAUUUAUUGGGUUUAAAGGGUGCGUAGGCGGUCCGGAAAGUCAGCGUUAAAAUCCCG